GGGAACAGGAAGCUGAGAGGUCUCAUCUUUAAACCUCAGGCCCAGCAGAGAGAAUUAAAAAUGGGUGAAGAUUAAAAACUCCCAAAGCCACCUUCAGUGACAUACAUGUUCCAGUAAACUACACCUCCCCAAAGAGUGCCACCAACUGGAAAACAACUGCUUAAAAGCCCAAGUCUAUGAGAGUCAUUGUUGUAAACAAAGCUUCAUUGAGUACCUUUACUGCUUAUUGCUGUCUGCCCUAAAGGAAAUAUUCCUGGAAAUGACCUUGCAAGAGAAAGAGGAUGUAUUAAAUUUUAAUAGCUGCUGCCAGAUAUAAAGUCAAUGAUCUAACUUUGAUAUAACAAUCUUUGAAGAGAAAGAAGACUGACACUUAUUUUUCUCAUUGAAGUGAAACUUUAAAAGUUUCUGAAUGGAAUGAAAAGUUGUGGAAGGCAAUAAAAUUCUCAUUAUUCAUUGGAAA
This is a non-coding RNA of Rattus norvegicus (Norway rat), 460 nucleotides long. Lineage: Eukaryota; Metazoa; Chordata; Mammalia; Rodentia; Muridae. The record is from RefSeq and is a predicted model, not a curated record.